This 4080-nucleotide long non-coding RNA is filed under the name Salmo salar (Atlantic salmon). RNAcentral describes it as "lncRNA (ENSSSAG00000104689.1)". The record is from RNAcentral. Lineage: Eukaryota; Metazoa; Chordata; Actinopteri; Salmoniformes; Salmonidae.
CUCUGAGUUCAUCUAUUGACAGGGUUUACCUCCAGACCCACACACUCUCUGAGUUCAUCUAUUGGCAGGGUUUACCUCCAGACCCACACACUCUCAGAGUUCAUCUAUUGGCAGGGUUUACCUCCAGACCCACACACUCUCUGAGUUCAUCUAUUGGCAGGGUUUACCUCCAGACCCACACACUCUCUGAGUUAAUCUAUUGGCAGUGUUUACCUCCAGACCCACACACUCUCUGAGUUCAUCUAUUGGCAGGGUUUACCUCCAGACCCACACAUUCUCUGAGUUCAUCUAUUGGCAGGCUUUACCUCCAGACCCACACACUCUCUGAGUUCAUCUAUUGGCAGGGUUUACCUCCAGACCCACACACUCUCUGAGUUCCUCUAUUGACAGGGUUUACCUCCAGACCCACACACUCUCUGAGUUCAUCUAUUGGCAGGGUUUACCUCCAGACCCACACAUUCUCUGAGUUCAUCUAUUGGCAGGGUUUACCUCCAGACCCAUACAUUAUGUCCAUGGUGCUGUCAAAGUGACCAUGUGGUCCAGUAGAUGGAGUGGUUGUGGUGGUAUAAAGGUCCAUAGCUACACAGACUGGGCACAUUAAUCAGUGUCCAAUUUACACAGCACCAUCCAGAGGUGAGGAUGGGUUCUGAACUUUUGAUUGCAAACAUAGAGGGCAUCUGUUAGGGACUGGGUUUACCAGACCUAGGGCUAGGCUAGACAAAGGGUUUACCAGACCUAGGGCUAGGCUAGACGAAGGGUUUACCAGACCUAGGGCUAGGCUAGACGAAGGGUUUACCAGACCUAGGGCUAGGCUAGACGAAGGGUUUACCAGACCUAGGGCUAGGCUAGACGAAGGGUUUACCAGACCUAGGGCUAGGCUAGACAAAGGGUUUACCAGACCUAUGGCUAGGCUAGAUGAAGGGUUUACCAGACCUAGGGCUAGGCUAGACGAAGGGUUUACCAGACCUAGGGCUAGGCUAGACGAAGGGUUUACCAGACCUAGGGCUAGGCUAGACGAAGGGUUUACCAGACCUAGGGCUAGGCUAGACGAAGGGUUUACCAGACCUAGGGCUAGGCUAGACGAAGGGUUUAACAGACGUAGGGCUAGGCUAGACGAAGGGUUUAACAGACGUAGGGCUAGGCUAGACGAAGGGUUUACCAGACCUAGGGCUAGGCUAGACGAAGGGUUUACCAGACCUAGGGCUAGGCUAGACGAAGGGUUUACCAGACCUAGGGCUAGGCUAGACGAAGGGUUUAACAGACGUAGGGCUAGGCUAGACGAAGGGUUUACCAGACCUAGGGCUAGGCUAGACGAAGGGUUUACCAGACCUAGGGCUAGGCUAGACGAAGCGUUUACCAGACCUAGGGCUAGGCUAGACGAAGGGUUUACCAGACCUAGGGCUAGGCUAGACGAAGGGUUUAACAGACGUAGGGCUAGGCUAGACGAAGGGUUUAACAGAUGUAGGGCUAGGCUAGACGAAGGGUUUACCAGACCUAGGGCUAGGCUAGACGAAGGGUUUACCAGACCUAGGGCUAGGCUAGACGAAGGGUUUACCAGACCUAGGUUUAGAGGAAGGGAUCCCCAUGACAACAUCAACUGAACGAAUUACAAUCUGAACAUUCUAAAAUGGUGGUGGGGGGGGGGUGAAUGGAGAAAUGAAUGAACAGGGUAGAGAGAGCCCAUCCCACCCUCACCAGGGCCUCUCGUCUCUGAAGUCAGUGCCCACCCCGUUUCUCUCUCACUCCUCUCCCUGCCUCAUGCUGCCAGCCAGCAGGGAAACUAGGUCACUGAACUCUGUCUGCUCUCUGUUUUUUGUAUAUAAAUUAAAGCCAAAAGGCUGAACUCUCCCUCUCUAGCUGGUCAGCCGUCGCCACAAAGCUUUUCACCAGAGGAGGGUUAGAGUAAAAAAACACAUACAGGCAGGCAGUCACACACACAUACAGGCAGGCAGUCACACACACAAACAGGCGCACACACAGACAAACAGGCACACACACAGACAAACAGGCACACACACACACACACAAACAGACACACACACACACAAACAUGCAGGCACACACACAAACAGGCAGGCAGUCACACAAACAGGCAGUCACACACACAAACAGGCAGUCACACACACAUACAGGCAGGCACACACACAAACAGGCAGGCACACACACAUACAGACAGGCGGUCACACACACAAACAGGCAGGCGGUCACACACACAAACAGGCAGGCAGUCACACACACAAACAGGCAAGCAGUCACACACAUACAAACAGGCAGGCACACAAACAGGCAGUCACACACACAAACAGGCAGGCACACACACAUACAGGCAGGCACACACACAUACAGGCAGGCACACACACAUACAGGCAGGCACACACACACAAACAGGCAGGCACACACACAGGCAGGCAGGCAGGCACACACACACACAAACAGGCAGUCACACACACAAACAGGCAGUCACACACACAAACAGGCAGUCACACACAAUCAGGCAUGCAUGCAUGCAGACAGACAGCAUAAAACACUAAAACAUGCAUGCAGACAGACAGACAGGGUAAAACACUAAAACAUGCAAGCGCGCCCUCACACACACAGUAAACAAACCCAGAUAUCCAGUAUAAUCCUCUCUGGCUAAAUAUGUUUGGGAUUUUUAAGGAGCGGGUCAAAAUAAGUCAUGCUGCGCCGGAGGCUGCAGUGCUAUCUCUGACAAGCCAAGGGAGGAUUUGUGCUGUGCAGAUUCACUGCAUAUUUCUAUUUCUGCCUCGGCCACUCUUAAUCACUGUGAUCACACACACGGAGAGUGCUCCACACAUGGACACACUCUCUAGCCUCCUCUUUGGUGGCCAGUAUUUCUAUCUCCCUCCAGGCAGGCAUGGUCGGAGCAAACCACCUCCAUGUCACUGGACCGACCUCCAGUGUGAUUUCAGAGUCAGAUGAUGUCACCAGUAACAGGUGUUAAGUAGGCUAGGUUUCCCUGGCAACAGUGGAAUCCUCAGACAUGACUGUUCUCCCCAGUCCAAUCCCCUCUGUCCAUUCAUCCCUUCAUCUCUCUCUCCUCCUCUGUCUCUCUUGCUCAUUGAGGCCAGAGAGAGAGAGAGGAGUGUUCUGGUAGCGUGGUCCCAGACCUGUUUGUUCAGACUGGCGAAUUCAUGACAAUGACAAUAGGAGUUGGCAAGACAGCACAAACAGAUCUGGGACCAGGCUAGAGUUCUAGGCUGCUGGGUGGAGAAAGCUGAAAUUGACACGGAUCCAAUUCCAGGUUCCACAUAUUUCAAUAUAAAAAUAAGCUGUUUGAAUCAUUAACCCUUUGGGCACGCUCUGUCAUGUAAUGUUCUGCACCUUUGUCUUCUCCAGGAGUGUUUAUAUUAUAGGGGAUAUGCCAAUUGCCAACAGUUGAAAAUGUAAAAUGUGUAAGUCAAUUCAUUCUCAGUGGGUUGAUAUGGUUCUGUAAUUUGCUGGUUUUGAGGACCAAUAGCAAUAACUUUUAUGUUGGAUUUAUGUUUUCUUUUUUAGAAUUAAACCCUAUCUGUCAUAGUUGAAAAGAAGCGGUACUUUUUCCUGAAAGGGUUAAAAACAAAAAGCUAAUUGACGCCAAUGAAUAAUUAAGCUAUAACGAGAGUCACAGUAUGUGCUUAUCACAGGAACAUUUGGGGCACUAAAUUGUGAUAGCUAGCAAUAUUAGUGCCACUUACAAGGGAUGCCAUUCAUUGACUGAAGUGCCACAGCAGUGCGCAAAGGGUUAAUUCAAGACUAAGGCCACAAGAGGCCUGUAUCCAAGUUAUUUUUUGCACAUUUUUUUAGAUAUUUUAAAUGUCAGUAUUUUAAAACAUAUUCCAAGUGCCUUUUAUUAUAAGUGAAAAUAUAGAAGAUAUAAAAGUAUAUGAAAAAUGAAAUAUAUAUAUAUGAAUAUAUAUUUUUUCCUGGCAUCGUGUUCUCGAGGUUCUUGAACAUGCUUAAUUUUAGAGUUGUAAAAGUCUCCAAUUGGUACAACAUUGCUGUGUGCUUCUGUUUUAGAGGAAUUUUAUUACGAUAAUGUCAAUGGAAAGAAAAUGUUUAAUAAAGUCGCAUUUGAUACAA